This 405-nucleotide ribosomal RNA is filed under the name uncultured bacterium. Its description in RNAcentral is "bacterial SSU rRNA". It matches the Rfam family "Bacterial small subunit ribosomal RNA", at positions 406 to 827 of the family's 1533-position model. The record is from RNAcentral.
GGAUGAAGGCCUUCGGGUUGUAAAGCUCUUUCGGCCGGGAAGAUUAUGACGGUACCUGUGGAAGAAGCUGCGGCUAACUACGUGCCAGCAGCCGCGGUAAUACGUAGGGGGCAAGCGUUGUUCGGAAUUACUGGGCGUAAAGGGUGCGUAGGCGGAUUUAUAAGUCUGGUGUGAAAUCUCUGGGCUCAACUCGGGGGGUGCCCCCGAUACUGUCGGUCUUGAGUGUGGGAGAGGAUGGUGGAAUUCCCGGUGUAGCGGUGAAAAUGCGUAUAUAUCAGGAGGAACACCAGUGGUGAAGGCGGCUUUCUGGACCUGUACUGACGCUGAGGCACGAAAGCGUGGGGAGCAAACAGGAUUAAAUACCCUGGUAGUCCACGCCCUAAACGAUGCAUAUUUGGUGUGGGU